AUGUAUAUAUCAUAACUAACAGUUGAACAUUCAGAUCCAACAAAUGGACACACAUCCAUUCACUUGAACUACAAGCUUGAACAGAUGCUCCAAUUUAAUUUCAUUAUUUUUAUGCCAAUUGAUUACUAGAUAAGAUAAGAUUUAUUUUAUUAAAGUGUCACCAUCCAUUACAAUAUCAAUAUAUAUAUACACAUAAAGUCAUAAGAACCUAACAUUUAAGUAAAAGGAUGCCAGCCGAAAACGACUUAUGAGACACUAUCAUUAAAACAAACAUCUAAUACAUACAUAAAAAG
Molecule: long non-coding RNA, 293 nt
Filed under: Mytilus galloprovincialis (Mediterranean mussel)
Lineage: Eukaryota; Metazoa; Mollusca; Bivalvia; Mytilida; Mytilidae
Source: RNAcentral